ACCACAUGAUUAGGAAGGCCUUCGGGUUGUAAUCUCCUUUUCUCAUUGAAUAAGAUCUGAAGGUAUUUGAGGAAUAACCACCGGCUAAUUUCGUGCCAGCAGCCGCGGUAAUACGAGAGGUGCAAGUUUUAUCCGAAAUUAUUGGGCGUAAAGAGUUUGUAGGUGGUCAAAUGUGUUUGUUGUUAAAUAUCAAAGCUUAACUUUGAAGUAGCAGUGAAAACUAUUAGACUUGAGUAUAAUAGAGGUAAAGGGAAUUCCCAGUGUAGCGGUGAAAUGCGUAGAGAUUGGGAAGAACACCAAUGGCGAAAGCACUUUGCUAGGUUAAUACUGACACUGAGAAACGAAAGCUAAGGUAGCAAACACAAUUAGAUACCGCGGUAGUCUUAGAUGUAAACUAUGGAUACUAGGUGGUGCUUUUUGCACUACUGAAGUUAACACGUUAAGUAUCCCGCCUGGGGAGUACGCUUGCAAAAGUGAAACUCAAAUGAAAUUGACGGAAGACUCAAAGGAAUUGACGGACCUUACUCGUAACUAUAAACGAUUCCGACUCGGAUUCGAAUGAAUCAAAAAUUU
This 573-nucleotide ribosomal RNA is filed under the name uncultured bacterium. RNAcentral describes it as "bacterial SSU rRNA". It matches the Rfam family "Bacterial small subunit ribosomal RNA", at positions 396 to 999 of the family's 1533-position model. The record is from RNAcentral.